UGGUCGCAACGUUCCUGUGUCAGGGUCAGACAAACCAGACCUCGCGCAUGCUUGGCCAUGAAAUUGAUGGCUUCCGGCGUGACGAAAUCGGCGGCGAUCAUC
This 102-nucleotide non-coding RNA is filed under the name uncultured Oxalobacter sp. The record is from RNAcentral. Lineage: Bacteria; Pseudomonadati; Pseudomonadota; Betaproteobacteria; Burkholderiales; Oxalobacteraceae.